Molecule: long non-coding RNA, 985 nt
Filed under: Olea europaea subsp. europaea
Lineage: Eukaryota; Viridiplantae; Streptophyta; Magnoliopsida; Lamiales; Oleaceae
Source: RNAcentral
CAAUAAAUCUGAAUGUUGGUCUACAGAAUGAUUUGAGAGCUUGUACUCCUCUGUACUGGGUUUCAUGAAUGGCCCAACUAACAACUCAGUGAUCCACAUCGCGCUUUGUAUAUCUUUCGUUGUGAGCUCCAGUUGGCUACUUUGGAUCCUGUUUAGCGAUAUACGCUGGAUUUCAUGGCUUGCUGUUUACAUCCGAUUUGACAGAAACAUUGUUUCUGUUAUUACACGAGUUAGCAAGAGAGGGCAGCACGGUGAACCAUCAUCUAGUGACACUUUUUUUCUUUAAGCGUCGAGCAAUAUCAGGAACAUUUAUUGUCAGUUGAAGCCAAUGUUGUUGAUAAGUGUACAUAACCUAUAUAUAUUGCUCGAGUAUCUGUUGAUUUUUGUCAUUUUUUAUGUCUUAGGGGUGGUCCCGAGCUUCGAAAACACGUUGGCGAAUAAUGGAGCAAAAAUUAGUGUUAAACACCGAAGGAGGAGCAAUUUGGAGAGCAGCAUGGGAAGAUACAUGAAUUUCCAUUUGGCAUAUAAUAUAUUAUGGGAAAGAUCAUCCAAUCUGGAGUCUAACGCAAAAAGAUGGGUUGCAAAUCAGAGUUGUAGAUAAAAUGUCAUGCGAAACUGAAGUUGGACUGCAGAGACGAGUACAAGCACUGUCGGUGUAAGGUGGUGGUGCGAGUUGAAGCAUCACUGGUUCAAGUUAGCGGCACCAAACUUCGUGGAUCGUCUCAGGCUGGUGAUUCUGGUGUUUUGGGCACAAUUUUCAAGGAAAUCUAUCUAACCCUACGAUGGAUAUCUCUUCACUCAAUUUGCUUAUUACUUAAAUGAUGUGUAACUGAACUCAUUUGUUAGUAUAAUUGGAGUAACCCAAUUUUGAAGAUUGGCUCCGAUAUUGUAAAAAGUGCAUCUCUUUACCAACACUAGAGUAUCUACCCUUGUGUAAAGACUUGAGCAAGAAUCAAAUUAAAGUAAUUAUAGAGGAAUUUUAUGG